Molecule: long non-coding RNA, 1563 nt
Filed under: Homo sapiens (human)
Lineage: Eukaryota; Metazoa; Chordata; Mammalia; Primates; Hominidae
Description: non-protein coding lnc-FANK1-4:3
Source: RNAcentral
AUUGUUCUAGGCUUUGGGGAUAUGGGAAUGAAGAGAACAAAAAAAUCUCAGCCCUCAUGGAGCUUGCAUUCAGUGGGGCCAACAGAUAAUAGGCAAGCUAAGGGAACAGAAUGAGUUAGAAAGAGUAGAAUUAAGGAGAAAAAAAUAAAAGAGCAAGGGAAGAGGGUGUGUAUUGAACUUUUAGGGACAGUGGACCUCACCAGGAAACCUCACCAGUAAGAGGGUCAUUUGAGCCCCUCACCCGAAGGGAAGAAGGUGUGAGUGCACCUCGGGAAAGAGCUGGUACAAGUGUCUGCAGACAGGACUGGCCUGGAGGAACUUACUCAACAGUGGGAAACAGUCUGCUCUUCCUGCAGACACACACCCAGAGAGGCAACCCAUUUUCUACUUGGCAUCAUUCUUAGAUAGGUCAAGGUCAUGCUGAUGGUGAGAAGAUCCCAUGGAGUGUCAAUACACUGGGAGCUGUGCCUCUGUAUGGGCCAGGCACUGGGAAUGACUGAAGUGCCAGUUCAGCACUGGAUGACCAGCAGUGAAUGCUGAAACACAGAAGGUGAUUGAUUAAUCCUCAAUGUACCGAUUUAAACACAGGAGACAAAUCCUGCUGUGAUCCCACAUAUGCCUGGACCAGUGGUUCUCAAAGUGUGCUCCCAGGACAAGCAGCACCAGGAACUUUCUAGAAAUGCACAUUCUCAAGCCCCACUCAGACCUACUAAGUCAGAAAACUCAAGACCAAAAUGGAGUUUUGUUUUUCUCCUGACAGCAGAUGCCACAGAUUGGGCAGACCCAGGAGGCUCUUCUUUACCUGGGCGUGUGGUGAGAACUCAAGUCCGAAGCCUAUGUCUGAGCAGCCUAUCUGUACUUCAUUGAGCCUCUGUUUUCACAUCUAUAAAAUAGGGAUAACAACUACCUCAUUGCACUGAAGUGGAGGCUAAACGAGCUUCAAACAAAAAGAUCAAAGUCUGGUUAACUUCCAAGCACUGUGAAAUGCUAGCUCCUAGUACUGACAGGCAAAAGAUGUGUCUUUCUUUCUCCCAUUGGGAGUUGCCCUGACUGCGAAUCCCCCCGUAUAUGAUAGUGCUCAAGAACAUUUCCAAUAUGGUAUAGAAUGUAGUACUUGUAGCCAAAAUAGAGCACGCUUUACACUGUAAAACCACAAAUACAAGUAAAUUUGAGAGCAAGAUGAUUCAGGAGGCGAAGGGAUGAGCAAACAGUUAAAGAUCAUUCCCUCCGUUUAAUACAUAGAUGGUGUCAAAGAAGCAAAACAGCCUGUUCCAUUCUGGAAGGGCCAGUUUUUCUUUAGCUCAACAAGAGCAUGUAGUUAGGAGCACAACCAACCAAUGAAGCAAUCCACAAACAAAACAAAAACGCCAUUUAGAUGGCUGUUACCUGCUACGCAGCUGUGGUUGUCUUCUGUUCCUGAAAGCUUUUUUCUGGCCCUUUUCAUAAAGCUCAUGUCACAUGAGCUCACCCCACAUCUUCCGUCCAUUUCCUGGCCACAGCCAAGUCCAGGCACUGAGCUCAGAGUGAGACGUGGCCACAAAUUGUGGGAUCCAUUCUCUGGAG